GAUAAAAAAUUCUCCGUCGAAAAGUUUGUCCGUCUAUCGAUAACUCUGAUAUUUACUAUAAAGUUUCAUAGAUCUCGAAUUGAAGAUUCGAUUCCAAUGUGAGAAAAAAUGUAAUAUUACAAGAUGUCCUGUCUCCUUCAGUUUUCAGUUUUCAGAAUUUUCAGUAGUUGAAGGUGAAGUUGGUUCGUUGUUUGUUUAUCCUCUAUUUUAUCGCGUCAUCAAGUUGAUUAUGAUUUUUGAUUGCUGAAGGUCUUAAAUUAAGACGAAGGUGGGAAUAGAACUGCAGAUACAUAUUAUACUAAAAUCCACCAUGACAGAUGAAUAUGAUGCCAAGGAUUAGAUUUGAAAAAAGUUCUUCUCCUCUCUACAUUUGAUGAAAGCCAUUUUCAGCAAAGGUGGGAAUAGAAAUGCAGACGCAUAUUAUACCAAAAUCCACCAUGACAGAUGAAUAUGCUGCCAACUACAGUUUUAGAUUUAAAACUCCUUUCUACAUCUGAUGGAAACCAUUUUCAGACCAAGAGCAGAGAGACUACGCCUCAUGAAGCUCAAAUCGAGGACGAUAGCAGUUCAAAGUAAAAAUAUAUAAUUAGUUAUAAAUUGAAAGUUCAAUUUUUGUAACAUUUAAUAAAAAUCAUUGCAUUUUAUUGAAAAUAAUGCUUUCUUA
This is a long non-coding RNA of Nilaparvata lugens (brown planthopper), 664 nucleotides long. RefSeq lists it as uncharacterized. Lineage: Eukaryota; Metazoa; Arthropoda; Insecta; Hemiptera; Delphacidae. The transcript has 4 exons. The record is from RefSeq and is a predicted model, not a curated record.